AUACGUAGGUGACAAGCGUUAUCCGGAUUUACUGGGCGUAAAGGGCGUGUAGGCGGUCUUGCAAGUCAGAAGUGAAAUUCCUGAGCUCAACUCGGGCGCUGCUUCUGAAACUGCAGGACUUGAGUGCUGGAGGGGAUAGCGGAAUUCCUAGUGGAGCGGUAAAAUGCGCAGAUAUUAGGAAGAACACCGGUGGCGAAGGCGGCUAUCUGGACAGUAACUGACGCUGAGGCGCGAAAGCGUGGGGAGCAAACAGGAUUAGAUACCCUGGUAGUCCACGCCCUAAACGAUGAAUACUAGGUGUGGGGGGACUGACCCCUUCCGUGCCGGAGUAAACACAAUAAGUAUUCCACCUGGGGAGUACGACCGCAAGGUUGAAACUCAAAGGAAUUGACGGGG
RNAcentral lists this ribosomal RNA (396 nucleotides) under uncultured bacterium. Its description in RNAcentral is "partial 16S ribosomal RNA". It matches the Rfam family "Bacterial small subunit ribosomal RNA", at positions 523 to 918 of the family's 1533-position model. The record is from RNAcentral.